UACGAAGGGGGCUAGCGUUGUUCGGAAUUACUGGGCGUAAAGGGCGCGUAGGCGGCCUGGCAAGUCGGGGGUGAAAGCCUGUGGCUCAACCACAGAAUGGCCUUCGAUACUGCUGGGCUUGAGACCGGAAGAGGUCAGUGGAACUGCGAGUGUAGAGGUGAAAUUCGUAGAUAUUCGCAAGAACACCAGUGGCGAAGGCGGCUGACUGGUCCGGUUCUGACGCUGAGGCGCGAAAGCGUGGGGAGCAAACAGG
RNAcentral lists this ribosomal RNA (253 nucleotides) under uncultured bacterium. Its description in RNAcentral is "partial 16S ribosomal RNA". It matches the Rfam family "Bacterial small subunit ribosomal RNA", at positions 524 to 776 of the family's 1533-position model. The record is from RNAcentral.